Small nuclear RNA from Rana temporaria (common frog), 120 nucleotides. RefSeq annotates it as U5 spliceosomal RNA. The transcript has a single exon. Lineage: Eukaryota; Metazoa; Chordata; Amphibia; Anura; Ranidae. The record is from RefSeq and is a predicted model, not a curated record.
AUACUCUGGUUUCUAUUGAGCAUUAAUAAAUCUUUUGCGUUUCACUAAAGACUUCUGUGGAGAGGAACAAUUGUGUUUCUUUGGUGAAAAAUUGUUUGAGUUCUUUUGAUUUGUAAAGGC